Molecule: long non-coding RNA, 576 nt
Organism: Bactrocera oleae (olive fruit fly)
Lineage: Eukaryota; Metazoa; Arthropoda; Insecta; Diptera; Tephritidae
Source: RefSeq, a predicted model, not a curated record
CAGACAGUUGGAAUUCCACAACUGCGCCAACCUUCACAUGCGCACUUUCAGUGGUUACAUAAAUACGAGUUUAGAGAGCUCAGUUUUUAUUUCAAAAAUGUCUAGUAUGAUUUAAGUGCUGCGAUAAAUUUUUCUUGCCAAUUACCAAGAAUUGAAAGACAUACUUAAGUGCCAUGGAAUUGUCAGUGGGAGUAGUGACUUGGGAUGACAGGUACCACAGUAGCUUUUUGCAGCGUCAAAUAUAGAUACAAUAGAGCAGGAGAUAAGUAUUGAACUACAGUUUUGUACGAGUGUAAGCAUGAAAAUGGGCAGCAAUUAGAACCUGAUCUGAAUUUGUACUCUUCUAAGCCAAUAAUAAGAAUUACUACAAUUCUUACUAGUUCUACUACUAUAUAUAUCAAUCGAACACUGAAAUAACUCAUAUUUGUAUAUAUAGAGAAUUUUUUUUUUUUUAGAAAGAUGUGGAAUUUCUUAGAGUGAUAGCUGUCAAAGUAAAACACAAUAAUUAAAAUGUCCAAUCCACUCACAGUUAUACUAUAAUGCAAUAAAAUAUUCAACCUACAUAUAUGUAUUAGA